GGGGCUGUAGCUCAGUGGUAGAGCAUAUGCGUGGGGUGCACAAGGUCCUGAGUUCAAUCCCCAGUACCUCCA
RNAcentral lists this transfer RNA (72 nucleotides) under Camelus bactrianus (Bactrian camel). It matches the Rfam family "tRNA". From Rfam's summary of the family: Transfer RNA (tRNA) molecules are approximately 80 nucleotides in length. Their secondary structure includes four short double-helical elements and three loops (D, anti-codon, and T loops). The record is from Rfam by way of RNAcentral. Lineage: Eukaryota; Metazoa; Chordata; Mammalia; Artiodactyla; Camelidae. RNAcentral also lists the same sequence under 1 other name.